CAACAGAACACAUCUUCAUCACAGAGACAGAAAGCCGAUAUCGAAAGUGUCAAGAAUCUCUAUCAUCCGAUCUCGCUUCAUAUCCAACAUCAGCUUUCACACAUCUACGGCAAUUGCAAACCAGUGUGUAGAUCCUUAUACAGGUAGCUCCACAAUGCACGCUCUCACAGCAUCCCAUCUCUUAAUCCAUUUGAGCAUGGUAGAUGUUAUCGCCACUCUCCAACUGGAAUACGAAGCACCAAAACUAACUCUGCCGAACUGAUGAGUUUGUUAGAGAUGAUCAGUAGUCAGUUAACAGCCAAGCAGGCAACCCAGUCAUUGUAUAGCCUGACUGACCGAGCAAACGGAGAUAGUUGUGCAGUGCCCAACAAAGUAGAACUUGUGAUUUGUUGAUUUGUUCUAUAGAUUCGCUCAAGAAUGAUGAGAAUAGUGCGUGCAUAGAUGUGGAGGGUUUGGAAAUAGUGCUGUGGAAAUAAUGAUGGAGUAGAUGCAUUGCAAUGAGAUCGGCCUUUCGUUCCUACCACAAUUGCUGUUGGGUCCAUAAGGACCCCGCGGCGCGAGGAUCAUGCGGCCAGCGAUGGGAGGGCCGACAUGUCGUCGGUGGAUAAUUCUGCGUCUGUCCAAGCGGGCCCGCUAAAACCAACCGCCGUGGGAUACACCUAUAAACUUACGCUCACACAACACUAGGAAUAAGUAUCUAACCAGUAACGUAAGUAAUAAA
Molecule: long non-coding RNA, 721 nt
Organism: Armigeres subalbatus
Lineage: Eukaryota; Metazoa; Arthropoda; Insecta; Diptera; Culicidae
Exons: 3
Source: RefSeq, a predicted model, not a curated record